CCACGGGAUCGAUAGACCAGACCUACACGCACAGCAAUGUGUUCAGGGAACUGGCACUAACCGGCCGAAAACUUACAACAACCC
RNAcentral lists this ribosomal RNA (84 nucleotides) under Mycolicibacterium mageritense. Its description in RNAcentral is "partial 23S ribosomal RNA". Lineage: Bacteria; Bacillati; Actinomycetota; Actinomycetes; Mycobacteriales; Mycobacteriaceae. The record is from RNAcentral.